UCUGCGCGGGCAGGUGUGAGCGGAGGGUUCCGAAAGCGCAGGCGGGGCGCGGCGGCCGGCACUCUAACAGCAGUUCAUUCGCUCCCCGCGCCUCCCGCCCGGCGUCCGUCAGUCCGCGCGUCCGUCGCUCCACCCGCAGUGUUGCCGGCAUCCCACUGCUCGCCACCACCCGCUCGGAGCCUGAAGCCCCAUUGGAGCCUCCCGCCACGUCUUCGCUCAGGCCUGGUGAUCCUCAGUGAGAAGGUGUUGAGUCCACACGUCCUAUUCCAGCUAAAACUUUUUGGAGAAAACCCCAAAAACUCAACACGCCAAGAGGCAUUCCUGUCAAGGCAGAGACCCUUAAAGAGAGAUGGAGGCUCUGUUUUUUGUGUUGUUUUUUUUAAUUCCAUGAGGGUUUAAAGAGAGAAUGAGUGCAAACUCACUUCUUAUCAGGUAUGAGUGUUUGGACCACAUAUUUAAUUAUU
RNAcentral lists this long non-coding RNA (464 nucleotides) under Castor canadensis (American beaver). Its description in RNAcentral is "lncRNA (ENSCCNG00000011128.1)". The record is from RNAcentral. Lineage: Eukaryota; Metazoa; Chordata; Mammalia; Rodentia; Castoridae.